GCUGCCGCCGCCGCUGCCGCCGGGCGGCUCGGUGCAGCUCGCCCGCUCUCCGGGCAGCGCCGCGCAGGCGCGCUGCUCCCUCCCCGCCGCCGCUCCACAGUUCAAAAAGAAUGCCAAGAGCAGUUUGACAUCUACAGAAAACCUGUUCCUGCCUUGCAAGUAGCUUGAAGAACAUCAGGGAGAUGGUGGUGUGGAAGGGAAGUAACAGAGGGAUUAAGCAGAACCAUUCAAGAAGGAGCAGAUGGAAACAGCUGCCAGCAGAUGAGUACUGGAAAGGAUUCAAGCCACAGUACUUGCUGGAACUUGAGAGUUUGCGAUGGCCUGAGCUAACCCAGUGACAGGUAUCUAAGGUUUGAAACCAGA
Neopsephotus bourkii (Bourke's parrot) is the source of this 363-nucleotide long non-coding RNA. RefSeq lists it as uncharacterized. NCBI's taxonomy places the organism in Eukaryota, Metazoa, Chordata, Aves, Psittaciformes, Psittacidae. The transcript is spliced from 3 exons. The record is from RefSeq and is a predicted model, not a curated record.